GCGCGUUUUAUUGAGCCCGGGCGUUGGCCUCCGGAGCCAAAGGCCGCAGGUUCGAAUCCUGCAUCGCGCG
RNAcentral lists this transfer RNA (70 nucleotides) under Corallococcus exiguus. Its description in RNAcentral is "tRNA-Ser". It matches the Rfam family "tRNA". From Rfam's summary of the family: Transfer RNA (tRNA) molecules are approximately 80 nucleotides in length. Their secondary structure includes four short double-helical elements and three loops (D, anti-codon, and T loops). Further hydrogen bonds mediate the characteristic L-shaped molecular structure. tRNAs have two regions of fundamental functional importance: the anti-codon, which is responsible for specific mRNA codon recognition, and the 3' end, to which the tRNAs corresponding amino acid is attached (by aminoacyl-tRNA synthetases). tRNAs cope with the degeneracy of the genetic code in two manners: having more than one tRNA (with a specific anti-codon) for a particular amino acid; and 'wobble' base-pairing, i.e. permitting non-standard base-pairing at the 3rd anti-codon position. Lineage: Bacteria; Pseudomonadati; Myxococcota; Myxococcia; Myxococcales; Myxococcaceae. The record is from RNAcentral.